Molecule: ribosomal RNA, 473 nt
Filed under: uncultured organism
Description: partial 16S ribosomal RNA
Rfam family: Bacterial small subunit ribosomal RNA
Source: RNAcentral
ACUCCUACGGGAGGCAGCAGUGGGGAAUAUUGCACAAUGGGCGCAAGCCUGAUGCAGCCAUGCCGCGUGUAUGAAGAAGGCCUUCGGGUUGUAAAGUACUUUCAGCGGGGAGGAAGGCGAUAAGGUUAAUAACCUUGUCGAUUGACGUUACCCGCAGAAGAAGCACCGGCUAACUCCGUGCCAGCAGCCGCGGUAAUACGGAGGGUGCAAGCGUUAAUCGGAAUUACUGGGCGUAAAGCGCACGCAGGCGGUCUGUCAAGUCGGAUGUGAAAUCCCCGGGCUCAACCUGGGAACUGCAUUCGAAACUGGCAGGCUAGAGUCUUGUAGAGGGGGGUAGAAUUCCAGGUGUAGCGGUGAAAUGCGUAGAGUUCUGGAGGAAUACCGGUGGCGAAGGCGGCCCCCUGGACAAAGACUGACGCUCAGGUGCGAAAGCGUGGGGAGCAAACAGGAUUAGAUACCCCUGUAGUCCCAUG